RNAcentral lists this long non-coding RNA (1955 nucleotides) under Heterocephalus glaber (naked mole-rat). RNAcentral's name for it is "lncRNA (ENSHGLG00000041585.1)". Lineage: Eukaryota; Metazoa; Chordata; Mammalia; Rodentia; Bathyergidae. The record is from RNAcentral.
CUCAAUGACAACAGAUGCAAUGGGUGAAAGUUGAAGCUUAAGUGUGAGUUGCUUUCUCACACCAUCACUUGUGGCUGAAAACUUCUGAAGCCUCUUGGAUAACAGGAGCAUAUAUGACACCAGGAAAAAUCAUCCUAUACUGUAGCCCACGCGUGGAGCUCAGUGCUGCCACCUGGACCAGACAGCAGUGGCAGCAGAAAGCACACACGGACACUGGCACUGUGUCACCAGGUAGACCCACAGCUGUCCUCCAGCUGCGUCUGUCACCAGUACCCGGUAAUCAUAUCUGCAAAUUUCUCAGAGAUGGAUGAAAGAUAUCCAGCAUAUGCAGAGCUGAAGAAAUCUCUUCCUUACAAGAAGCACAUUCAAAUGAAUAACAAAAAAGAGGAACCAAUUUACUCAGAAGUGGAAGAAUGUCCUUCAAAUUCCAACCAAAUAAAGAAAAAAAUUGAAUCAUCUGAAGAAAAUGGGUUCUCAGUUCCCUUAGCCUGGCGCCUCACAGCUGUGGUUCUUGCUGGCUCGUGUUUCUUCCUCCUUUCAGCAACUGGAUUUUUGGGUUUCAUGGAACUUUAUUCAAAGCCAAAUAUCUUAUUUCUCUUGGAUUGGGUUGUCCCGUGAAGGAACCAGCACACCCUGGACAUGGGAGGAUAAGUCACAACCCUCUCUUGAAAGGUUCAUUUUGACUUUAAGGAAGAGUCAGAAGUUGUAUGGUGCCAGUUCUGGUGAACAAGAUAAAUGAGGGCACACCAGUGUUUUUACAAGCCUGCCCUUGCAUUGGACAGUACUCACUCUGCAGCCGCAUUCACCAUACUUUUGACCACAUCGUGAAAGAGGACUUCCAGAACUUCUACAGAAAGUGGGAAGGACAAGAACGAUGGGAUAAGUGUAAUCAAAGGAAGGGGGAACAUUUUGAGGAGGACUAAUGGCAAAGUCUCUUUUACUGUAAUAAUAUUUUAAUUUAAAAUACACCACAGGUUUUGAUCACACCUUCUAUAAACAUGUACCAUUAUCUACCAUAUCCAAUGAAUACAUACAAGUAAUGUGUGUCAUUUCAAAACUACCAUUUGAAUUUAAAACUAAAUGUUUUAAACUUCAAAAAAUAGUUUGUGAUAUGAAUCUAUAAUGACCUGCACAGUUUAAAUAAAUUUCAGGAAGACAUGCUCCACCCCACAAAUAAUGAGGAAUGUUUCAUUUGACAAAAGAUACCCCCUUUAUUGGCAAAAUGAAACAGCUUGAUAACACACAGUAAAGAUGUAGGGAACCAGACACUUGUGAGCACUGGAAAAGAUAUGACAACUGCAGUGGAAAGUAGAAAUCAAAUAUCUAUUAAACUUAAAAUACAAAACUACAAAUUACAAUCCUAGAGAUUUAUCAUACCAAUAUCGCUAUGUCCAGUAAAAGUGUACAAAGUGUUGUUACAGUAUUUUUGCACAAAUGCAAAAUUCUGGAAUAAAUCUAAAUAGUCAUUGAAAUAAAACUAGUUGAGUAAAUUUUGGUACAUAUAUUACUAGUACAGUAUAAUGCUUACAAAUGUUUACAAAAAGUGAAGCAACUCCUUAUGUACUGACAAGAAACAAUCUGUAAGACUUAAAAGUUAAAAAGCAAGAUUAUUGUUUAUACUUAUGUAAUACAUGGUUUGCCAGGUAAUGUGUAUAUUUGUACAUUCAUACAGUAUCUCUGAAAUAUUACCUGACAAUAGAUAAUAGUUGUUUGCCUAUAACAAGGAGACUAGGUGAGUAAGCAACAAAAUAGGACAGGGCAAUUUGGUUUCAUAGCUCAUUGUUUUGUUCAUUUUAUAUUUUAAACAAUAUGAAUAUUACUUAUCUAUCAUAUAAAUUUAAUUAAAUUAUUAAGAAAAUAAAUAAGAUCUUUUAACCAAUCAAAAUAAAUUUCUUCCAUGUUUUCUCAUUUAUCAAUUCUUAACAUUUCAAAAUAUACACUCACUUCUUGAAUUU